UUACGGUCAUACCAUCUAGAAACACAAGUUCUCGUAUGAUCACCGAAGUUAAACAACUUCCUGGUUGGUCAUUAUCUAGAUGGGUGUCCGCUUGGGAAUACCAGGUGUCGUAAG
Non-coding RNA from Acanthosepion pharaonis, 114 nucleotides. NCBI's taxonomy places the organism in Eukaryota, Metazoa, Mollusca, Cephalopoda, Sepiida, Sepiidae. The record is from the annotation of a GenBank genome assembly.